This 231-nucleotide ribosomal RNA is filed under the name Salmonella enterica subsp. enterica serovar Cerro. RNAcentral describes it as "partial 23S ribosomal RNA". It matches the Rfam family "Bacterial large subunit ribosomal RNA", at positions 12 to 242 of the family's 2925-position model. The record is from RNAcentral. Lineage: Bacteria; Pseudomonadati; Pseudomonadota; Gammaproteobacteria; Enterobacterales; Enterobacteriaceae.
CUAAGCGUACACGGUGGAUGCCCUGGCAGUCAGAGGCGAUGAAGGACGUGCUAAUCUGCGAUAAGCGCCGGUAAGGUGAUAUGAACCGUUAUAACCGGCGAUUUCCGAAUGGGGAAACCCAGUGUGAUUCGUCACACUAUCAUUAACUGAAUCCAUAGGUUAAUGAGGCGAACCGGGGAAACUGAAACAUCUAAGUACCCCGAGGAAAAGAAAUCAACCGAGAUUCCCCCA